UUACGGCCAUAUAACCUUGAAACACCGGUUCCCGUACGAUCACCGAAGUUAAGCAACAUUGAGCCUAGUCAUUACUUAGAUGGGCGAUCGCUUAAAAAUACCAGGUAUUGUUA
Non-coding RNA from Acanthosepion pharaonis, 113 nucleotides. Lineage: Eukaryota; Metazoa; Mollusca; Cephalopoda; Sepiida; Sepiidae. The record is from the annotation of a GenBank genome assembly.